GACGAACGCUGGCGGCGUGCCUAAUACAUGCAAGUUGAGCGAUGAAGCUUGGUGCUUGCACCCAUUUGAAGAGCAGCGAACGGGUGAGUAACGCGUGGGGAAUCUGCCUUUGAGCGGGGGACAACAUUUGGAAACGAAUGCUAAUACCGCAUAACAACUUUAAACAUAAGUUUUAAGUUUGAAAGAUGCAAUUGCAUCACUCAAAGAUGAUCCCGCGUUGUAUUAGCUAGUUGGUGAGGUAAAGGCUCACCAAGGCGAUGAUACAUAGCCGACCUGAGAGGGUGAUCGGCCAAAAUGGGACUGAGACACGGCCCAAACUCCUACGGGAGGCAGCAGUAGGGAAUCUUCGGCAAUGGACGAAAGGCUGAACGAGCAACGCCGCGGGAGGGAAGAAGGUUUUCGGAUCGUAAAACUCUGUUGGUAGAGAAGAAAGUUGGUGAGAGUGGAAAGCUCAUCAAGUGACGGUAACUACCCAGAAAGGGACGGCUAACUACGUG
Molecule: ribosomal RNA, 497 nt
Filed under: uncultured bacterium
Lineage: Bacteria
Description: partial 16S ribosomal RNA
Rfam family: Bacterial small subunit ribosomal RNA
Source: RNAcentral